AAUAGCUCAGAAUGUCAGUUUUGUUAAGUAACAGAAUUGAUAACUGAGCAAGGAA
RNAcentral lists this microRNA precursor (55 nucleotides) under Propithecus coquereli (Coquerel's sifaka). RNAcentral describes it as "miRNA (ENSPCOG00000009879.1)". The record is from RNAcentral. Lineage: Eukaryota; Metazoa; Chordata; Mammalia; Primates; Indriidae.